RNAcentral lists this ribosomal RNA (497 nucleotides) under uncultured bacterium. Its description in RNAcentral is "partial 16S ribosomal RNA". It matches the Rfam family "Bacterial small subunit ribosomal RNA", at positions 28 to 507 of the family's 1533-position model. The record is from RNAcentral.
GAUGAACGCUGGCGGCGUGCCUAAUACAUGCAAGUCGAGCGAACAGACGAGGAGCUUGCUCCUCUGACGUUAGCGGCGGACGGGUGAGUAACACGUGGAUAACCUACCUAUAAGACGGGGAUAACUUCGGGAAACCGGAUCUAAUACCGGAUAAUAUAUUGAACCGCAUGGUUCAAUAGUGAAAGACGGUUUUGCUGUCACUUAUAGAUGGAUCCGCGCCGCAUUAGCUAGUUGGUAAGGUAACGGCUUACCAAGGCAACGAUGCGUAGCCGACCUGAGAGGGUGAUCGGCCACACUGGAACUGAGACACGGUCCAGACUCCUACGGGAGGCAGCAGUAGGGAAUCUUCCACAAUGGGCGAAAGCCUGACGGAGCAACGCCGCGUGGGUGAUGAAGGUCUUCGGAUCGUAAAACUCUGUUAUUAGGGAAGAACAAAUGUGUAAGUAACUAUGCACGUCUUGACGGUACCUAAUCAGAAAGCCACGGCUAACUACGUG